AACGCAUAUUGCGCCCUCUGGUAUUCCGGGGGGCAUGCCUGUUCGAGCGUCAUUAUCACCCCUCAAGCCCGGCUUGUUGUUGGACGUCGGCGGCGGCCUUGAGUGGCGCACCGCCCGUCUCAAAGAUAAUGACGGCGUCUGUGAGGACACCUGUACACUGAGCUUUCGGGCACGUACUAGGCUUGAUACUCGCAGACCCGGUCUAUAGGGUUCGCCUCGGCGGCCCAACUUUUUUACCAAGGUUGACCUCGGAUCAGGUAGGAAUACCCGCUGAACUUAA
Molecule: unclassified non-coding RNA, 280 nt
Filed under: uncultured Chaetothyriales
Lineage: Eukaryota; Fungi; Ascomycota; Eurotiomycetes; Chaetothyriales
Description: sequence contains 5.8S rRNA gene, ITS2, 28S rRNA gene
Rfam family: 5.8S ribosomal RNA (bases 1-52)
Source: RNAcentral